Molecule: ribosomal RNA, 498 nt
Filed under: uncultured bacterium
Lineage: Bacteria
Description: partial 16S ribosomal RNA
Rfam family: Bacterial small subunit ribosomal RNA
Source: RNAcentral
AUUGAACGCUGGCGGCAUGCCUUACACAUGCAAGUCGAACGGUAACAGGUCUUCGGAUGCUGACGAGUGGCGAACGGGUGAGUAAUACAUCGGAACGUGCCUAGUAGUGGGGGAUAACUACUCGAAAGAGUGGCUAAUACCGCAUGAGAUCUACGGAUGAAAGCAGGGGAUCGCAAGACCUUGUGCUACUAGAGCGGCCGAUGGCAGAUUAGGUAGUUGGUGGGAUAAAAGCUUACCAAGCCGACGAUCUGUAGCUGGUCUGAGAGGACGAUCAGCCAGACUGGGACUGGGAAACGGCCCAGACGCCUACGGGAGGCAGCAGUGGGGAAUUUGGGACAAUGGGCGCAAGCCUGAUCCAGCAAUGCCGCGUGCAGGAUGAAGGCCUUCGGGUUGUAAACUGCUUUUGUACGGAACGAAAAGCCCCGGGUUAAUACCCUGGGGUCAUGACGGUACCGUAAGAAUAAGCACCGGCUAACUACGUGCCAGCCGCCGCCGUAA